CGUUCCUAGCCGUUGUAACGGCUGAACUUGGUGUCUGGGACUGGUACAUGCGCGAGUCCGGCCGGAGGAAGGAGCGGGCAGGGUCGGCGGCCGGUCUUCAGUCCCUGAACCAGUCUUGCUGCCUCUUCUCAACUGGUUUUUUGCCGCAAGUGAAAAUAUUUCUAGUAACCUGUCCAGAGUUCCUUUCUCGCACAUCUCUGACGGCUGUCCCCGAACUCGGCGCCGGGCGGGAGGACGAAGGAAGCCCCCAGGAGCCCUUCUCCAAAAAUGGAUUGUGCCCAGCUUUCUGUCCACUGGGUCGGUGGUAGAUGUUGUGGACAGCUACUCUAGCUGUAGAGAUUUCAGAUGGAAGGCCAGAUAGACCAAAAAACCAACUGAUCCAUGCAGAAUCAUUAGCUUGGCGCUAGUUAUGGUGUAUUUGGGGAACACUGCAUGCUGAGAAGAAAAUGGUCCUUUUAUCAUUUUUCAAGCAUAGAUAAUUGUUUUUAAACUAAUAAUGUAUGUGAGUAUAGCAUCAAUUGCUGUCAUUUCUGCUUCUAUUUCACCAUAAAUGUGCCAGGAGAGAUGCUCUUCCAAGAAUAGCAAAUAAGAGCACCUGAAGUCAUGGGACUACUAAAGGUCUCCCAAAGAACAUUGAUAGGUACUCAGUUGCUGUCUAAGUCGCAGUGCAUUUCUCUUAAUUGCUCGCAAGCUGGUGCCCUAAAUCUCAAGGGAAGAUGAAUGUGGUGGGAAGUCCUCUAUAGUUUUCCCCCAUGGUUAGUAAACUGAAUCCUUCUUUUCUACCAUUGGAUAUUAGAGGGUUUCAUUAUCGACCAGAGUCCACAGUUUUACUGAUAGGACUUUAAUCCUCCUUGGGUACUAUAUGUAGACCUAGCAGACCAGAGAAGCGUGGGAAAUUAGCCACCAGCUUAGAUCUGUACAGGAAGAAGCAGCAAAUGUCCAAAUCUCACUCCCCAUCUCAUCUAUACCUUUAAAAUAAUUUUGCAUCUUUGAAGGAUUACUUCCAUUGGAGGCAGCUGGAGCCUGUGAUCAUCCAGCACAUCAUCAUCUUUUGUCCCCCAUUCCUUCAAAUUCCAUCCUCCUCAAGGAGAUCCAAGGAUAUGCCCUCCCCCUCCCCCAUCUGUUACCAUUACUAAGAUUUUCACUUUAAAAUCUGACAAGAGAUUCUUGUAUGUCCCAUCAAUAUUGGGUAACAGAAAUGAGGUUAAGCCACGGGAUGGAGUUAAUUAAAUAAGUAAAUUUUCAUGGAGAGAGCUCAUGCAGAGGGAAGGGCCAAUCAGAGCCUCUGAUACCUGUCCAUACUGAAGAUCUCUACUUAAUCAUCUAAUUCAAAGUAUCCUCCUGACUUGGAAACCUAUUUUCUGCUACAGUUAAAAGUGGAACUCCUCAUUAUUGACCUGGAUUUAACCCAAGCAAUGAUGGACCAUUGUAUAGUGACUUAGAAAUACAGAAUGAGGAAUUUGUUGUCAAACUAUGGCUCCUUUCUCAUAGCUGAUUGCUUUCACUUAUCAGACUAUGUAUUACCUCCUUUAGAUGAUAAAAUAUUGCCUGUUUUUAUUUUUUUUAAAUUAUCAUCAGAAUGGUCAGGAAGCCCAGAUUGAUGGGAAGGACUUGAUCCACUUGGGAAAUGGGACAAAACAAGUUGAAAUC
RNAcentral lists this long non-coding RNA (1650 nucleotides) under Sarcophilus harrisii (Tasmanian devil). RNAcentral's name for it is "lncRNA (ENSSHAG00000027077.1)". Lineage: Eukaryota; Metazoa; Chordata; Mammalia; Dasyuromorphia; Dasyuridae. The record is from RNAcentral.